This 153-nucleotide ribosomal RNA is filed under the name Bacillus velezensis. RNAcentral's name for it is "partial 16S ribosomal RNA". It matches the Rfam family "Bacterial small subunit ribosomal RNA", at positions 1388 to 1533 of the family's 1533-position model. The record is from RNAcentral. Lineage: Bacteria; Bacillati; Bacillota; Bacilli; Caryophanales; Bacillaceae.
ACCGCCCGUCACACCACGAGAGUUUGUAACACCCGAAGUCGGUGAGGUAACCUUUUAGGAGCCAGCCGCCGAAGGUGGGACAGAUGAUUGGGGUGAAGUCGUAACAAGGUAGCCGUAUCGGAAGGUGCGGCUGGAUCACCUCCUUUCUAAGGA